This 77-nucleotide transfer RNA is filed under the name Caudoviricetes sp. RNAcentral describes it as "tRNA-OTHER". It matches the Rfam family "tRNA". Rfam says of the family: Transfer RNA (tRNA) molecules are approximately 80 nucleotides in length. Their secondary structure includes four short double-helical elements and three loops (D, anti-codon, and T loops). Further hydrogen bonds mediate the characteristic L-shaped molecular structure. tRNAs have two regions of fundamental functional importance: the anti-codon, which is responsible for specific mRNA codon recognition, and the 3' end, to which the tRNAs corresponding amino acid is attached (by aminoacyl-tRNA synthetases). tRNAs cope with the degeneracy of the genetic code in two manners: having more than one tRNA (with a specific anti-codon) for a particular amino acid; and 'wobble' base-pairing, i.e. permitting non-standard base-pairing at the 3rd anti-codon position. Lineage: Duplodnaviria; Heunggongvirae; Uroviricota; Caudoviricetes. The record is from RNAcentral.
GGAGAAAGAGCUGGGCGGCACAGCAGCUUAAAGGUAUAGCCUGGUAGCGCUCACGGGUUCAAAUCCCGUUUUCUCCA